This 484-nucleotide ribosomal RNA is filed under the name uncultured bacterium. Its description in RNAcentral is "partial 16S ribosomal RNA". It matches the Rfam family "Bacterial small subunit ribosomal RNA", at positions 30 to 507 of the family's 1533-position model. The record is from RNAcentral.
AUUGAACGCUGGCGGCAGGACUAACACAUGCAAGUCGAGCGGAUGAAGGGAGCUUGCUCCUGGAUUCAGCGGCGGACGGGUGAGUAAUGCCUAGGAAUCUGCCUGGUAGUGGGGGAUAACGUCCGGAAACGGGCGCUAAUACCGCAUACGUCCUGAGGGAGAAAGUGGUGGAUCUUCGGACCUCACGCUAUCAGAUGAGCCUAGGUCGGAUUAGCUAGUUGGUGGGGUAAAGGCCUCCCAAGGCGAGGAUACGUGACUGGUCUGUGGGGAUGAUCAGUCACACUGGAACUGAGAUACGGUACAGACUAGUACGGGAGGCAGCGGUGGAGAAUAUUAGACUAUGGGCGGAAGGCUAGUCCAACCAUGCCGCGUGUGUUAAAAAAGUCUUCGGAUUGUAAAGCUCUUCUAGUUGUGAAGAAGAGCAGUAAGGUAAACCCUUGCUGUUUUGACGGUACCUAACGAAUAAGCACCGGCUAACUCCGUG